This 337-nucleotide long non-coding RNA is filed under the name Hordeum vulgare. RNAcentral's name for it is "long non-coding RNA (HVUL_LNC001199)". The record is from RNAcentral. Lineage: Eukaryota; Viridiplantae; Streptophyta; Magnoliopsida; Poales; Poaceae.
GGUGUCAUAGAAUAUCUCAGUCUUUGUAAAAGUUGAAGGAAUUCCAGCGAGCUUAAUGCUGGCAAUGCCCUCUAUGGAGUUAACCACUCGCAUCCAAGAUUUAUGUCGGACUGCUUUCGAGGUGAUGCACCACCUCGACCGUGGGCUGAUUUUUGAGGAUUUUUCUGAUUGGUGUAAUUUAUUCUGUGACGAGCUAUAUAACCAGUAGCCCCCUAGACUUUCGUUGGGCAACAUGGCCGAUCCUAGGAUCGUAUCUCCUCGGGAACUAGUUCAUCCAUUGAGUUUUUUACAACACCGAGGUGCAGGUCCAUGGGGAAGGUGCUGAAUUGCUGGUCGG